GACGAACGCUGGCGGCGUGCUUAACACAUGCGAGUCGAACGAUGAAGCCGGAGCUUGCUCUGGUGAAUUAGUGGCGAACGGGUGAGUAACACGUGAGUAACCUGCCCUUGACUCUGGGAUAACUGCGGGAAACUGUAGCUAAUACCGGAUACGACUCUCGGAGGCAUCUCCUGGGGGUGGAAAGAAUUUCGGUCAAGGAUGGACUCGCGGCCUAUCAGCUAGUUGGUGAGGUAAAGGCUGACCAAGGCGACGACGGGUAGCCGGCCUGAGAGGGUGACCGGCCACACUGGGACUGAGACACGGCCCAGACUCCUACGGGAGGCAGCAGUGGGGAAUAUUGCACAAUGGGCGCAAGCCUGAUGCAGCAACGCCGCGUGAGGGAUGACGGCCUUCGGGUUGUAAACCUCUUUUAGCAGGGAAGAAGCGAAAGUGACGGUACCUGCAGAAAAAGCACCGGCUAACUACGUGCCAGCCGCCGCCGUAA
This 484-nucleotide ribosomal RNA is filed under the name uncultured bacterium. Its description in RNAcentral is "partial 16S ribosomal RNA". It matches the Rfam family "Bacterial small subunit ribosomal RNA", at positions 28 to 523 of the family's 1533-position model. The record is from RNAcentral.